Molecule: small nuclear RNA, 106 nt
Organism: Jaculus jaculus (lesser Egyptian jerboa)
Lineage: Eukaryota; Metazoa; Chordata; Mammalia; Rodentia; Dipodidae
Source: Ensembl
GUGCUCACUUCGGCAGCACAUACACUGAAAUGGAACGAUACAGAGAAGAUUAGCAUGUCCCCUACUCGAGGGUGACACGCAAAUUCCCGAAGUGUUCCACAUAAAA